RNAcentral lists this ribosomal RNA (527 nucleotides) under uncultured bacterium. Its description in RNAcentral is "bacterial SSU rRNA". It matches the Rfam family "Bacterial small subunit ribosomal RNA", at positions 355 to 896 of the family's 1533-position model. The record is from RNAcentral.
CGAGGAAUCUUGGGCAAUGGGCGAAAGCCUGACCCAGCGACGCCGCGUGAGGGAUGAAGGCCUUCGGGUCGUAAACCUCUUUUGUGAGGGAAGAAGUUCUGACGGUACCUCACGAAUAAGCCACGGCUAACUACGUGCCAGCAGCCGCGGUAAUACGUAGGUGGCAAGCGUUGUCCGGAUUUACUGGGCGUAAAGGGCUUGUAGGCGGUUCGUUAAGUCCGGUGUGAAAUCUCCCGGCUCAACUAGGAGGGGUCAUCGGAUACUGGCGGACUUGAGGUGGGCAGAGGAAAGCAGAAUUCCCGGUGUAGCGGUGAAAUGCGUAGAUAUCGGGAGGAAUACCAGUGGCGAAGGCGGCUUUCUGGGCCUAUCCUGACGCUGAGGAGCGAAAGCGUGGGGAGCAAACCGGAUUAGAUACCCGGGUAGUCCACGCCCUAAACGGUGGAUGCUAGGUGUAGGGGGUGUCGACCCCCUCUGUGCCGCAGCUAACGCUUUAAGCAUCCCGCCUGGGGAGUACGGCCGCAAGGCUA